AACUCCCCUGCCCUAUUCAUAAAAUAACAAUGUGAAAAUCCCUUCUCCGUCACAUAUAUAUUUCACAGCUACCACUAUCAUACUUAAAUGAGAUGAUAUUAGGAGAUAAAAAUAUUAGAACACCAAUUUUAGUCUACAGUAGGUGCACAUCAUGUACGUAUGGGUCGACCCAUUAAUUGAUAUAAGAAUUUCUACCCAUUGAUUUAUUGCCUUCUUAAAGUUGCAG
Molecule: long non-coding RNA, 226 nt
Filed under: Mytilus galloprovincialis (Mediterranean mussel)
Lineage: Eukaryota; Metazoa; Mollusca; Bivalvia; Mytilida; Mytilidae
Source: RNAcentral